UACAGAGGGUGCGAACGUUGCUCGGAAUUACUGGGCGUAAAGCGCGUGUAGGCGGACCGGUAAGUCAGGCGUGAAAUCCCCAGGCUCAACCUGGGAACUGCGCUUGAAACUGCCGGCCUUGAGUGUCGGAGAGGGUGGCGGAAUUCCUGGUGUAGAGGUGAAAUUCGUAGAUAUCAGGAGGAACACCGGUGGCGAAGGCGGCCACCUGGACGACAACUGACGCUGAGACGCGAAAGCGUGGGGAG
This 245-nucleotide ribosomal RNA is filed under the name uncultured bacterium. RNAcentral's name for it is "partial 16S ribosomal RNA". It matches the Rfam family "Bacterial small subunit ribosomal RNA", at positions 524 to 768 of the family's 1533-position model. The record is from RNAcentral.